RNAcentral lists this ribosomal RNA (136 nucleotides) under uncultured Palmaria sp. RNAcentral describes it as "partial small subunit ribosomal RNA". The record is from RNAcentral. Lineage: Eukaryota; Rhodophyta; Florideophyceae; Palmariales; Palmariaceae.
AAACAGACSAAUUAASGCUUAACGAGCGAGACCUGGGCGUGCUAACUAGGGGCCGCUACCAUUGUGUAGCUGUUCGCCCCUUCUUAGACGGACUGCGGGCGUCUAGUCCGCGGAAGCUCCAGGCAACAGGUCUGUG